Melanotaenia boesemani (Boeseman's rainbowfish) is the source of this 5291-nucleotide RNA transcript. It is a transcript of the gene named microtubule-associated protein 6a, with no coding region annotated. The transcript has 5 exons. Lineage: Eukaryota; Metazoa; Chordata; Actinopteri; Atheriniformes; Melanotaeniidae. The record is from RefSeq and is a predicted model, not a curated record.
CGCUUCUAUGACCUUUUCCCUCAACGCCGCUAUCCAUUCAUGCUUUUAGGCUGCAGGUUAAACCGGAAGUUAAACUCUCUAGCUUGAUCCUUUUUUUUUAUUUAUUUAUUUCCAUCAUCCGACUCUCCGGGAUGCUGAGCGAGCGGGCGGGGCCGUUUUUCCUUGCAGUGCCCUGCUGUGGCGUGAUGUAGCAGGACGAACAGAGAGGACACGGAGGGAAGGGAGCUACGGUUGUUGCUUCUAAGUAAACGUGUUCAAAUCGUCAUCAAUCUGUAAGCACAAUGGAUUUAGGACCGAAAAUUCAGUUUUAACCUCAACCGCAUUGGAGCCGCCCGUACAAGCCCGACUGGUAGGGACAUCUUCAUUCUCCUCACUAAGGAUACUGGCGUGUGGAGAAAUAUUUUCCUUUCGGAACCGGUGGAAAUAGGUGUUGUGUCUCGUGGAAGUAAACACACCUCACCAUGGCGUGGCCCUGUAUCAGCAGGGCGUGCUGCAUGGCCCGCUUCUGGAACCAGCUGGACAAAGCUGACAUCGCCGUGCCUUUGGUCUUCACCAAGUACACGGACGUCUCUGAGAUGCAGCAUAUCCAGCUGCAGCCGCCGCUCCACCCUCCCCAGGCCCGGGUCGCCAUAGAAACGCAGCCGUCUCGCACAGGGACCCGCACCCCCAUCGCGGUGCGCGGGCCGCGGAGGUGCGUCUCCGAGGAGCGCGUGUGCAGUUCAGUGAUGCGCGAGGACUUUAAGCACUGGAAAGUGCGACCCGAACCGAGCUGUAAACCGAAGAACGAGUACCACGGACCGGAAACACCGUUUAAUAGCGAGACUCAGUACCAGAAGGACUUCAAGCCCUGGCCCAUUCCGAAAAGGUACGACCACCCCUGGAUACCCAAACCACCACCGACCAUCUCCGCCGGCAGCGACCGGCCACCGGACAGGUCCAGGCACGCGAAGCAGCACGCGGCGCUGGAUGCGGAAUGCGGUGUGGAGAAGAGCGCUAUCGCCGACAAGGUGCAGGAGAAAGACCUCCUGCAGGGCCAAGAGAGGAAAAAGCGGCCCAAAAAGCAGGAGGGGGAGAAGAAGGUGGUCCUGAAGGUUGAAGGAGAGGGCAGAGGGAGGGCGGCAGUGGAUGCACUGAACAGACAGAUCAAAGAGGAGAUCACAGCUGGCAGCUCGUACAAAACUGAGUUCAAGGCUUACAGAGACGUGAAGCCAGUAAAGAUGAUCCGCGCCAAGUCUCAGUACCUGCCGCCAGACGAGAAGACAAGCCUAGAGACCAGCUACAGCGCCACCUUCAAGGCACAAGCCCCGCUGCAGCCUGCUGACAACAAGGCCCAGGAGAGGAGGAGGAUACGCAGCUUGUACAGCGAGCCUUACAUGGACCCCAGCAAACAGGUUGACAGGUAUAGUGUCCCACGCUCUAAACCCAAAAGGUCUGGAGCCACAGCAGCAGGCCAGGGCAAGCCCGUGAAGAAAGCCAAAGACAAGCAGAGCUCCGCGCUGAGGGGCUCAAAGAAGAAAACCUCGGAAAACCAGCCCGAGAACCAGCCGGCGGUGGGGGACAAGGAGAAAAAUCGCUAUAGUAACGAGUGGGUGGAAGCAUCUUCUUUCCUGUCCCCGCCAUUUGAUGCCACCCACCACUACCCCCACUCUGCUCGCCUCCAUCUUCAGGUUGCCAUGGCUACUGGCUGCCUGGCCAACCAAUGGAUGACUCUUGUUGCAUGAGCCCAGUUACAAGCAACUCUGAAGGGUUGGCUUCGAUCAGCUGAGCAGAUUGCUUUGUUGAGUUUAUCAAGGAUUUCUUUCUUUCUUUCCUUUUUUGUUUUUUUGUUUUUUUUGUUUGUUUUUUGAGAAAAAAUGAUCAAAUUGGCUCAUUGGAUAAUAUUUCUGCUCAAAAAUGAAUGAAAAUCUAAAAAUCUUUGAUAAAUGUUUUGCUUAGUUAUUCGUGGUCCAUUGCUUGUUCUGUACCUGCUCUGUUAUCUUUGCUGCAGUUUUCUCGUCUGUCUUUGGCAACAUCACCAUCACAUUAUUGGUAAAUGUGAUUUUGUAAUCAGUCCCUUUGAAUUCUGUUGCAGAUUACGCAUGAUUUUCUUUAAUUCUUUGGAAGGAAAAAGCAAAGCUCGUUCAUACCGUGGUAGUUUGUAACGCCCAGUUUGUUGCCAACAAACCAUCUUGGUCACUUUAACCUGAUGAGCAGCAGUCGUUUGCAUAGUCGAGGAAGCUCUCGAUGAAUAAGUAACCUUUAACAUUAAAGUUAUGAUAUUUCUCAUAAUCAGGGCAGGAUGAGCUCAGAGGAGCUUAAAAAUGUUGUUUUAAGUGGCAGGUUUGUAUCCCGUCUGCAGAGUACACAGCUGUCAGACUUUCUAGCCAUAAUUCAGUGUAAUCAUCUUCAGCCGUCUUCACUAACAAGACUGAUCCUUCUCUGAGGAAGCAUUGAUGCGUUAGCAUUAGUAUGCACUCAGAUACACACCUCCCUUUGGCUUUUCUUUGUUAUGUAGUCUGCCGAGGGCGACCGUAGCCAAUGUGAUUAGACUACCAUGGGGAGAUAGCUCAUAUUGCAGCUUAAUAGCACUUUUCAUAUCACCUUGGAAGAGGGGGGCCAGAUGGAUGAAACACUGAUUUGUGUUCCAGGUAAAUCACAAACAGCUCCCUCCCAUGUGUCAGAUUACCUUUAUCUUCCGCUAAUAUCAUUUUUAUUCUGAUGCAAACCCGUCGUGGUGCAGUGAUGUGAUGUCUGUGUGGCUUAGAUUCUUCUGCUCAUUACUCUGUUUCUGGAUCCAUGUUUGAUAUGUUUUGUUAGAAUUUUAAGGUCAAGCAGGAUGUUGAUGCUGAAAUGUUGGUUCUCUACUGGAAUUGUGGUUUUUCUUCUGAUGAUUAAAAUUCUUGAUGGUACAAAUGUUCUCAGAGAGAAAAUAGAACAGGAAGUAAGUUGUGAUGUAACUCUUGGUCCAUUAACAUGACUGUCGCUACAAUCUCCCUUUGUUUCUGUCUUAUGUUUGCUUAUACAGGCUAACAGGAUUACAUGUCGGCUGGGUCCCACUCUUCACUUAGUUGAAAGCAUCCACAUAGGAUGGAUUUACUGCCUGGCCAAAAAGAAAAGAAAGAAAAAAGCCACCCCUUGGAUUUAACUAAGCUAAAAGGUGAAAACCUCUGUUUCUCUGAUGUAGAAGGUCAAACUAUCACUCUGCAUCAGGUGAACAAAAUGACCAAAAGCAAAACACAGCAAAGCUGCACUUUGUGACAGGAAUCUAUAGAACUUGGUUAUGAGGUCAUGAGUAAUGUGCAGACUUUAAAAUGACAGUUCCUGUUAAUCGUUGUGGGAUUCAAAUGUAAACUUGGAUUCUUACUGCAAAGAAGCUUUUAUGUGCCCGUGAACUACUAAAAACGAAGAUGUGUAAUAUAUUCACUGCUUUUCCCGUUUCGAAGGAAGCUUUUCUGCUGCUGCAGAUUUGCUUCUUAGGUUCAGUUCCACAAGUUAAUCCACAAUAAUUAGGUCUGUUUUGAUUUGUUAAGGUAGGAUUCACACGUACACAUUUCAGGUAUCCGUUAUUUAUUUCUCCUUCACUGUAAAUGCAGCAGUGUCUCAUGUUGCUGCAUCAUGCUGGGUCCGUUGCUUUGUCUUGCUAGCAAAGCUUUUUCAAGCAGCAGCGGCACCAACCUAUCAAAUCGUCUGAACAAUCAUGUCCAAACUCGUCUCUGCAAUUCCAAACAUCAGGCCCGCCCAUUAUCAAGCGUUAAAGCAUCGAGUCUGUGUGAAAUCUGCUCUUUUCUUUCAUGUUGCUUGUUUUUUUAUCAGGGAUGAUUGAAAAUGACUAAGUUAGUACCUUAAAGUUAUGGUCAGGGGUUGCAUCAGUUGAUCAGGUCUAGAUUCAGCAAGAUUAUGUGACCAAAAGAACAAAUAUACUGAAUGGAAAAGACUUCACACUGCAGUUAGACUCUGCCAUCAUCAGUACGAGACCUCAGUGAGAUAUUAAUGCAGCUCUUAGUGGAAAUAAAUAUAGUGACACUGCAUAAGCUUAUCGUGAUGAUGAAAAAAUGAAUGUGUGCUGGAAUCAUAGCUGAAGGUGGUGUUAAAUUCCUGGAGUGUGGGGCUUUUUUUUUUUUUUUUUUUUUUUUGGCCACAUGGAGAGAAAUAUCUUAUUUCAGGUUAGAAAUGCACUGUACAGUCUUAUCACAGGUCAACCUGUCAUGCUGCAUCAAACACACACACACACCUAACUGUUUCCUCUGCUACUCAGCAUCUUCCCCUCCAUUCAGAAUGAACAGCUGUUUUGUUUCUGCUUGGCAUCUGUGAAAGCAGCAACCAUCACCACCACCAUAACAACCCAAGCUGACCCCAUCAGGGAUGAGGGCCUGACUCAUUAGCAUUUUGCAGCCUUUGAUUGGUUGGGUGGGCGGGGUGGCAGGGAGGGCACUUGGUUAUGUAAUACAAUGGGCACGGGAGGGCUUGUAGGGGGCAGUAAAUGUAAACAGUGCGUAGCACACACACACCUGGUGCUAUAUUUGUGUUAUUAUUAGGCACAUAAGGAUAGAAAGUGUAGUAAAGAAAGCUCUGUCUUGGAUGAGAAGAAAAAAAAAUUGUGACGUGCUUGUGUUCUAUCUGCUUGCUCAUAUUUAAUGAAACAUUACAAAUAAAUUUAAAAAAGUAGAAAAAGCAGUGUCUUCUUUGCUUCUUUUUUGUUAAAGAGGAAUGGCUGAGAGUUAGCGGUUGCAGGUAUCUGUCAGCGUUUCUCCUGUCCCAGUCUUCGUCUUUGUGACAGACAACAUUUAUUAAUUCUAUCCAAAUGGAAGAGAAUUUUGCUCUUGCAGCCUCUUUCUAUGCUUAUCUAAGAUCACACCGCAUUCUGGCAUGAGCCAUGACAUCCUUUCCGGGCCCUGCAUGUUUGCUCUCACGUGAGAACUGAAGAAUAUAUUAUUUUUGUGCAUCGUGUCUAAAUAUAUUCCAAGACCUCAUCUGAUUUAUAGAGCAACAUGCAGGGGAAAGGAUGUCAGGAAACUUAUUCCAGAAUCAAUAUGUCAUGUGCUUCUUUGGCUUUUAUUAGCUUAAAAGCAUUAAAAAGGCAACCUAAAACACAUAUGUAUGAUGCUACACUUGCUGAGGUCACCUUGUUAUAUGUGUUAGAAUAUGUGUAGAGGAUUUCACAUUUGGAUGAUGCUGUGUCCAGUCUGUCCUGUGCUAAUGAGUGACAUUCUGAUUCAUUUGAAGGGUUGUGCUUAAACAGUACCACUACAUACAACUCUGCCAGCCAAUCCGAGAUAUUGGCUGGGUGCAGACUCUAAAGCAACACCUGUGGG